This 806-nucleotide ribosomal RNA is filed under the name uncultured bacterium. RNAcentral's name for it is "bacterial SSU rRNA". It matches the Rfam family "Bacterial small subunit ribosomal RNA", at positions 8 to 811 of the family's 1533-position model. The record is from RNAcentral.
AGAGUUUGAUCCUGGCUCAGAUUGAACGCUGGCGGCAUGCCUUACACAUGCAAGUCGAACGGUAACAGGUCUUCGGAUGCUGACGAGUGGCGAACGGGUGAGUAAUACAUCGGAACGUGCCUAGUAGUGGGGGAUAACUACUCGAAAGAGUAGCUAAUACCGCAUGAGAUCUACGGAUGAAAGCAGGGGAUCGCAAGACCUUGUGCUACUAGAGCGGCUGAUGGCAGAUUAGGUAGUUGGUGGGAUAAAAGCUUACCAAGCCGACGAUCUGUAGCUGGUCUGAGAGGACGAUCAGCCACACUGGGACUGAGACACGGCCCAGACUCCUACGGGAGGCAGCAGUGGGGAAUUUUGGACAAUGGGCGAAAGCCUGAUCCAGCAAUGCCGCGUGCAGGAUGAAGGCCUUCGGGUUGUAAACUGCUUUUGUACGGAACGAAAAGCUUCGGGUUAAUACCCUGGAGUCAUGACGGUACCGUAAGAAUAAGCACCGGCUAACUACGUGCCAGCAGCCGCGGUAAUACGUAGGGUGCAAGCGUUAAUCGGAAUUACUGGGCGUAAAGCGUGCGUAGGCGGUUUGUCGCGUCGUCUGUGAAAACCCGCAGCUCAACUGCGGGCUUGCAGGCGAUACGGGCAGACUCGAGUACUGCAGGGGAGACUGGAAUUCCUGGUGUAGCGGUGAAAUGCGCAGAUAUCAGGAGGAACACCGGUGGCGAAGGCGGGUCUCUGGGCAGUAACUGACGCUGAGGAGCGAAAGCGUGGGUAGCGAACAGGAUUAGAUACCCUGGUAGUUCACGCCGUAAACGGUG